AGGAAGAUGCCGCUCAGCAAGGAAGAAGCCACUGCUCCAAAACCGGCAUAAAAAAAGCCAGACUAUGGUUUGCAACUGCACAUGGGGACAAAGGUUGUGCUUUUUCGAGAAAUGUCCUCUGGUCUGAUGAAACAAAAAUAGAACUGUUUGGCCAUAAUGACCAUUGUUAUGUUUGGAGGAUAAAGGGGAGGCUUGCAAGCCGAAGAACACCAUCCCAACCGUGAAGCACAGGGGUGGCAGCAUCAUGUUGUUGUGGUGCUUUGCUGCAGGAGGGACUGGUGCACUUCACAAAAUAGAUGACAUCAUGAGGCAGGAAAAUGAUGUGGAUAUAUUGAAGCAACAUCUUAAGACAUCAGUCAGGAAGUUAAAGCUUGGUCGCAAAUGGGUCUUCCAAAUGGACAGUGACCUCAAGCAUACUUCCAAAGUUGUGGCAAAAUGGCUUAAGGACAACAACGUCAAGGUACUGGAGUGGCCAUCAAAGCGCUGACCUCAAUCCUAUAGAACAUUUUUUCCAGAAAUCUUGCUUGUAGGUGACCAAAUGUUUGUAGGUGACCAAAUACUCCACCAUCAUUUGCAAGUAAAUUCAUUUAAAAAAAAUCCUACAAUGUGAUUUUCUGGAUUUUUUUCCCUCAUUUUGUCUGUCAUAGUUGAAGUGUACCUAUGAUGAAAAUUACAGGCCUCUCUCAUAUUUUUAGAUGGGAGAACUUGCACAAUUGGUGGCUGACUAAAUACUUUUUUGCCCCACUGCAAGUGGGUUAUGUCAAGGAUUUCCUCCUCUUCUUCCGAAGAGGAGAGGCGAAAAGGAUCAGAGGACCAAUAUGCGGCGUGCUGACAUGCUACUCCCUCCACAGUGACCUGGUGUGUGUGGAUGUCAGGGGGCUGUUUCUGCAGUAUGGGGGAGUGUCUGUCCUCUUAGCCCUGCUCUGAGGGGGAAAGAAGGGGCUGCAGACCCCCAUAGACAUCCUACUGCAGCUCAGUGCAGAGUCACGGUAUCUGUCUGAGUUCCGGCCUGCGCGCACCACUGAGGACUUGUUCCAUACAGCAGCUGUUCUUGUGAAUAGCCCCCAGACUAGAACUUCCUCUUCUGG
Long non-coding RNA from Oncorhynchus tshawytscha (Chinook salmon), 1088 nucleotides. The record is from Ensembl. Lineage: Eukaryota; Metazoa; Chordata; Actinopteri; Salmoniformes; Salmonidae.